CUUUGUGUGCAGGGAAGGCACCUGCGGUGGCCUGUGGCUCAGGAGUGGUUCUACUGUGCUCGUCUGAAAUGUUUGUUGCCAACCUGCAUGUCUGCAAGUUCACCUGUCUACAGCUCUUUCUUUCUGUGUUUCAUCAGGUGUCUGCACGGUAGGAAUUGUAGGCUGAUCUUCAGAUAAGGGUUUGGUUUUGAAACUUAGAAGUACUGCAGUGAACUAACACUAAAUAUGCAGGUUCUUGGAUAGCACCAAGUGCGUCUUUCUCCAUGUCUGAGCUCACUUGGCUCCUCACAGUGGGCCUUUCUGACUUCUUGGUACAAAGUGUUCAGGGUCUUCACUAAAAGACACUGUAGAAAUUACUGUUGUGUCACAGCACAAUAAAUAACGGGUAAUGCUGAUUCUGCUUUUGAUAUAGGACAACAUCAAAGUUUUGCUCCUGUGCUGCUUACACAAGGGAAAGACUCAUACGUUGGUGUCUGUGCCUAAACGAGAUCUUAUAUGUUAUGGGGUUGCCAGAUCUCAUUGAAUCAUUUGGUUCUUUCUGCUUUAGGCUUUGGAAAUGCUUCCAUAGAAGAGCAGCAAUGCUUCUGCUUUGCACAGAGGUGACUUGUAGCUCAUGGUUCACUGAUUUAGAGGCAACCAGCCUAAAACAACUCCCAGUGUUCAUUGAAGUUAUAGAAGCACAGAAUAUAUAGCACGGAACCGCUCCAGAGUUUGACAGAUGGGACUGAAACUGGUUAGUGACAACACUGAAAGGCAACUUUGUGGUAUUAAUGAGAGAGCAGAAAAGAGAGCUCCUUAGUGAAGCGCAGGUCAGGAGUCUGACGUGGGGUGAUGGGGAGGAGGGUUGGAAGAAGUUACCAAGGGGAAGCGAGAAGUGACAUGGACAAAUUAGUUAUCAGUGCAGAAACUGAAACUGUGCUGGAGAGUGGUGGGCUGAGGAGACAGGAGAAAAGCAGGGAUUCUGUGGCAGGGGGAAAAUUAUACAUAGACCUGUCCUGCCUGGGGUGAAAUUAAGAGGGAGUCAUUGAGAGCAUGUGGCAACAGCUCCUGCUGCUUGGGCAAAAAUGGUAUCACUUUGUAUGUGGAUGAUAGAGCAGGUUCUAGGGCUUUGUGUUUGUAAAUAAUCCUGUGGAGGAGUAAUCAAGCUUGUAAUUAGCUGUUGGGUUUUUUGAA
This 1173-nucleotide long non-coding RNA is filed under the name Coturnix japonica (Japanese quail). Its description in RNAcentral is "lncRNA (ENSCJPG00005014703.1)". Lineage: Eukaryota; Metazoa; Chordata; Aves; Galliformes; Phasianidae. The record is from RNAcentral.